GUUCUGAAAGGAGAGAGAAACUCCUGUCAAUCACACUGCCAAAGGACAAAAUGUUCCUCCUGCUAAGUGCACUGCGCCCAACAUCAUCUGCUGUGAAGACCACACUGCACUACAGCUCCGUAUGGACACUGGCUGUGCUUAUCAUAGUAAUUCCCACGAACAACAACAAAAGCCUCAUGGAAUAUCCAAUCCUGGCAUCAUUUAGGAGGCACUUAGAGCACUUCAGGAGGCAUUUAGAAGCACCCAUGAUACCUGAAAGAUUAAACUAGAGCUGUGGGACUGUACUUAAAUUCAUGAAUAUCAUACUGAGGAGUCCUAAAAUGAAAACUUGGAAUCUGUGGCAAAUCUCGCUUCAUCUACCUUCCCAGAGGUGACAGAGGAAAGAGUAAUACCAUUUGGAAACACAGUUCGAGGGCUUCAGACAACACACGGGAAACUGAGGCAACACACAAGACAGGCAAGUGCGGGACUGGGAGGCCACGGUCUUAUAUUUACCCAAUGCGAUAGAGCUGGGCUUAUUAAAGACUGCUGACAGCUGCACUUGAGCCAGGUCUUCCUCAGGGAAGCACUGUCCUAGUCCUGACAAAAGGUUACUGAGGACCUGGCCCAGGACAGCAGCAGUAGAAAAGAGAAACUGGUAACAAACUGCAGCAUAGAAGCUGCCAAUCUCUCUGCCAGUUUAGGUAAGGAUGCAUAAAAGGACAUCUUGUUCAGAGUUAAGAAAUUGGAGGAAGGGAAGACUUGGAGGGUGGCUGUGGCUGUUUGUCAGGUGUUGGGAGAGACUGCAUAGGAGGAGCCAUAUGCACUGAUGAGGAUUAGAACUAUCAGACAACAAUGGGCAUGGGAGACAAAUGUGCCACAGCCUGUAAUGUAAUGCAUGCGGUGCUCAGGAUGCACAUGAAACAGACACUUCAUGUUUCACACAGCUAACAAGUUUAAGUACCUGAUGGUCAAGGAGGGACUCUUGCCUUUGGAACCAUUUGUACUCUGACCGAGGUUUGCAGAGCCUGGAGCCGUUCUCUUUGGCGUCUUCGGGCUGGCCUUGUUGGCAGCAGUGGCGGCGUUGCUCUUCAGAGCCCACAGAAAGCUUCUACUCUUACCAUGGUGUCUCACUGUUCUGUUGCAUGUUCUACAGGUAAUCAGCUACCACAAAAAAGAAGUUGGUCCCGUGAGUUCUCUGGUAAUGUAACUCAAUAUAACCGUGUUUCCCCAAUUCCUAUGUGAGUAUGACAGAGACAACUUAGCACAGAAACUGUCCUCUGGGAGCUUGCAAUCUAUGGAGGAGUCAGAUAAGACAAAUUCAAAACAAUAAAAUUGCCAACGAGAAGGUGCUGGUUAGGCAUUUAUAUUUAAAUACUUUAAAAAGACAACAGGGUUGGGGGCAGUGAGACACCCUGAGCCCCUAGUCCUACAGAAAGAACUAUAGGUAACUAAGGAAUGUGGAAAGCAGGAGGAAUCGUUUUUCUGGGAGGGAGCACACCAAUUGGCUAGCCCUGGAAACAUACAUAGCACUAUAUCGAUGGAGCAGGUUAUAGUUAGGAGUAUAUGUGUACAUACAUAUACACAUAUACACAUGUAGCAGAGAGAAAAGGCCAUGAAUUUGAAAGAGAGGAAUGAGGGGUAAAGUUUGAAGGGAGGAAAGGGAAGGAAAAAUGGUGCAAUCAUAUUUCUACCUCAAAAAUAAAAUAAUUUUAAAAAGAUAAUGGACUCAUUAUGAAACUUAUUUGUGUAGGAGCUAGGGAUAGGAGGGCACUCACUAACCCUUGGAUGUUCUUUUUAACAGCAGGAGAGAUUUACUGUUUCUAGCUGGUGAACUUUAGUUCUUUUCUCAAUAAAACAGAGCCGAUCACUGGCAUUUUAAGUAGCACCUUUGAAUCCACAGUGACUAUGUGAAUGCUAGUCUGACUAAUAAAACCCUUCCAUUUCCAUCAAUAUUUAUUGUUAUUUUAUGUUUAUGGGUGUCUGUUUGCAUGAAAAUAUGUGCACCUUGUACAAGACUGGGCCCCUUGAAGAGGCCAGAAGGCACAGAAAGUGUGUUGAUUAUGGAAUGGCUCAUGGGAACCAAACAGGCAGCGAGUGCUUUGAGCUGCUGAGCCAUCUCUCCAGCCUCAGUAGGAUGCAUUGCCAAGACAUGGUCCACUUUGUACCUAAAUGCCUUUUCUACAUAGCCUAUGUCUCAGCAGAAUGUAAGCUAGUUACGUGAGACGUACUCAGAUUUCAAACAGACAAAAAUUCAAAUAAAGAUCUAUGUGGUGAUUUGAGUGAGAAUGACCCACUUAGGCUCAUAAGCUUCAACACUUGGUCUCAGUUAGUAUAGCUGUUUGAGAACGACUGGGAAGUUGGACUGAGGGCAAGCUUUGAGGUUUCAAAGAAGGUGACUCCCAGUGUCUGUCUCUGCCUUAAGGUUGUGGAUCAGGACAUGAGCCCUCAGCUGUUCCUCCACUUGGCCAACAUGGACUCUAGCCCUGUGAAGCAGUACGCAUAAUUAAACACUUCCUUUUAUAAGAUGCUUUAGUCAGGGUGUUCUGUCACAGCAACAGAAAAGUAACUAGAGCAGUCUGCAUAGAUGAAGGCCUGCUGCCCUGUAGUUUUUGGAAAAAGGCUAUAUACAGAUAAGUUAGUAAAACAUCCCCCAUGAGCCUCUUUCAGGUGUCUAACUAAAUACAGUAGAGUAUAAACUUCAGCAGAGUAAACCAUCAGAACACUGCAGAUCUUCCUAGGGGAACAUUCUCAACAGCUGGAAAUAGAUUCCCAAUAUAUUGAUCUGUUUUCUAGUAAGUUCCUGUGGCAGGAAGCUCAGAGGUUGAGGUCACCUAGGCUACACAGUGGGUUUAAGGCCAGUCUGGGCUACACAGCAAGACCUUACCUCAGUGCCUGCAUACACUUGAGUAAGUUGGUAAUGUUCACACAAAGCAUGCAAAAUAGAAGAUAUACUUGACAAUGGACUCCAUCGAGUAAGCCUUUAGGAAUUUUUGUUUUAUUCCAUUUUAUACACUAAACACUUUGCUGGGUGGACACGUGCUGACCCUAGGACUUCAUACACAAGGUGAGUGAGGAGGGAAUUAUUUGUUACUGAAGAAAUGAUUAAAUGGUGACUGAGCUUAUGAGUGUGACUGCUAAACAUAAGGAAUUCUCAAAACUGAAAAUACUGCGCUCAACAGUGAGGUGAAAGCAUGUAAGAGCAUCAAUCCAUGGUUUUGGGGAAUUAUCAAAAAUCAAAACUAGCCAGUGUGAUAAUGCACACAUUUAAUCCCAGCACUGGGGAGGCAGAGGCAGGCUGACCCUGAGUUCGAAAUCAGUCUGGUCUACAAAGCAAGUUCUAGGACAGCCAGGGCUUUCAGAAGCCCUGUCUUAACAUAAAUUAUACUCUCGGUGACUCACUACCACAGAAACAUUAUGUGUGCACUCUGACACUCCAAAUGAACAACUAGAACUUAGCUCUGGUCAGGCUGAUUCUCUCCCCAAGGGAAAGAAGACAAAACGACAGCUUGUUUUUAUGUACUAAACUGCAACCUUACCAGCACACUUGUAGAGUCUUUAUACUUUCUCAACAGUUUUGCUUCUUUAAAACUGAGUGUAUCAUUUCUUGCUUCCCGAUUAAGAAGUUUCUGUAUCUUUGGUGUCAAUUUGGCUUUAGGUUUGAGGCGCACUCUAGAGUUAUCCAGAACCAACAAUUGGAAGCAGUGUGGACAUGUUUCCUGGAAAGUGCUGUUAUCCUCUACAAAUAAACAAGCAAACAAAUAAAAUUCACAGUUUGCAAGUCAGAAUAUUUUGUUACCUCAAACAACUGGUAUCAUAAAUGGGGGAAAAAAGCAUACUGAUGCUAUCAGCAGAUACAGUCUCGUGAAGCAAACCUCAGAUAUGAAAAUGCAUAAGAGCAAACUGCCAAUAAUAUACCUUACAGAAUUCUCUUAAUUUCCCCAUCCACUCCUGCAGCAGGCGGUAGGCAGGUCACUGGCCUAUACUUCUCUGUUCAUUUGUUGCUUAGUUAUCAACACAUUUACUACAAAGCAAUCGGCACAGGAUUUUUCUUCCCUUCCUUCUCUACCAUCAAUACAACUAGUGUUGUAUUGUCCUCUGUGUAAUGUGAACAGAGGACAACUAGAUGACAUAGACCAGCACAUGUUAAUGCUGGGCCAAGGGAUGGGACUAAUGAAGGAGAUGCAGAGGCUGGCAAAGUUAUUGUAAUUGAAAGAAGGAUGUCUAGGGAAGUGUCAUCAAAUGAGCAUUGCAGAGAAAAAUGACAGCAGGCAGAAAGUAGCGUUCCAGGCACGAUAAGGCAUCUGCAAAGCCCAGGAACACAACAGCAUGAAAGUCCACCAUGGCUGAAGUUGAGUGAACAACUGGCAGUAUGUCACGGAGGUUAUGUGGCAUUCCAGCUAAGAAAGACUACAGAAUGCCCUCUGGCAGCCAGCAGUAAUUGUUUGGAUCAGGUUGCAAGCAUGGAUAAAAAGUGGGUCAGUGGGCUGGUGAGAUGGCUCAGCAGUUAAGAGCAUUGACUGCUCUUCUGGAAGUCAUGAGUUCAAAUCCCAGCAACCACCAACCACACGGUGGCUCAUAACCACCCAUAAUGAUUUGGGCCAGAGUGAGCCUGGGAGUACUGGGGGGUGGGGGGUGGGGCAAACCAAGAGGGAGAAGGGAAAGGGGGGAGUGGGUCAGUUGGGAGGUAUUUUAAAGCCACUGUGAUUUGCUAGUACAAGGUAGACCAAGGGUUUCAAGAAAUAGCUCCAAGAUAAAGACAAGAUCACUGUUUACUAAGGUAAGAACUAGUUGUUUAAAAAAGGAGGGGUGAGGACAGGAAGGUCUCAGUAUAUUGUAGCCAGUCCCAAGACUGAAUAAAAAAAAAAAUGUCAUCUAAGAACUGAGUUCUGGGACACAACAAUGUUUGGCUCUUGGAAGAUUAUUAGGAAAACCAAGAGGUACAGGAGUAAGAGGUAGAUGCCUGGAAGACAGGUGGGAACUACUGAAACCCUGACCAAUGUGGUGCUGUUGAGUUGGUUCAAGGGAUCAAGGCACUUCUACCAAGCUAGACAACCUGAGUUCCAUCCACGGGAGCCCAUCCAACAAAGGUCUAGAUUCCAUCACACUCUUCUGGUCACCAAGCUCCCAAGUGAUGCAGACAUGAGGGCAAAACUCAAUUGAAUAAAAUUUAAAAAUAAAAGCAGAUCAAGGGACAAGGGAGAUGGCUUAGGGGUUUGGAGUAUUGGUUGCUCUUUGCAAAGACUCGGGCUUAGUUCCCAGCACCCACAUGGAGUCUCAGGGCCGGUUUUAAAUGCGGCUCCAGGGGUUUCUACGCCCUCUUCUGGUUUCCGCUGCAUCAGGCACGUAUCUUGUGCCCAGACAAACACACAAAUCACCAAAACACAUUUAAGAAUAAAAUAGACUGACCAAUGUAUCUAGUGCUAAGGAUUAAGACAUUAAGGAAUCUGGGGUUUUCAUGCAACUGAGAAGCCUGGAGCUUUUUUUUUUUUUUUUUUUUUUUUUUUUUUUUUUU
Molecule: long non-coding RNA, 5494 nt
Organism: Mus musculus (house mouse)
Lineage: Eukaryota; Metazoa; Chordata; Mammalia; Rodentia; Muridae
Product: predicted gene, 54038
Exons: 2
Source: RefSeq, a predicted model, not a curated record